Long non-coding RNA from Macaca mulatta (Rhesus monkey), 1717 nucleotides. The record is from Ensembl. NCBI's taxonomy places the organism in Eukaryota, Metazoa, Chordata, Mammalia, Primates, Cercopithecidae.
CUCUACCUUACCACCACCAGCAGCAGCAGCAGCCACACAACUGAUAAAGAUGAUAGCCACACAACUUUCCUUGCUAUCAGUGGUAAAGAAAUUACUGUUUCCAGAAUGCAUGCAGCUUCAGAGGUUCCAUGUUAAGAAGACUCAACAUGGAUAAACACAAAGGACAAGAGAAAAAAGCCUGCAUGAUCCCCUACUUUUGGAGGAAGAAGAAAACGAAAAAUCAGGUAUAUCCAAAGAUUGUUGUCCUGAUUCUAAAUUCUGUGGAUUAUACAGAAGCUAGCAGGAAAUGGAUAUUAAGAUGGCUUUUUAUCUAAGAUGCUUGAGUAAAGACGUUUUCAGGAUUCCCUACCUCCCUCAUUAACUCAUCAUAACAACCAUCACCAUUAAAAGAUUUAUCAUAUUGUAAAGUUCCUCACUCUGCACUGAAGUCCAUGUUCCUUUGUUUUGCAUGGGGAAUAGUUUGUUACAUAUCAGAUAACUUGUGCAUUAUAAGUACUUCAUAAAGCUAAGGUUAUUUGAGGAUUGCCCAGAUUUGAGAAGAGAAAGAAAACUUUUGCCAUUUCCCCUGGGACACUGGAAAGUCACUGGCUUCCUCCUUUCACAUUAUAAGCUCCUGUGCAAUCCUAUUUUGCAGAGACAGCAGGAAAAACAAAAAUAUGGGAGUUGGGACAUAUUUUACAGCCCCUGUUAAAGGAGUGGUCCCUUCAUUUCUCCUGAAGAAAGAGCUCCUGCCACUGAGAACCUUCUACAACCCUCUUUGCUGUUUUCAGAAUUGUCUUUGAAUUUUCAUUCCCUGUCAGCCAGAGCAGUUGGCAGUGACAGCUGAGCUAUUCUCCAUUAUGAUCAGGUAGAAGCCUAGCUCAGCCAGCACUCUUGGGAGACAAAGGUAGGGGAAGUUCUCUUACUUCUAUGCUCUGGGAGAUCAGUAGGCCUACCUUGAAGGUGAAAACAAAAUGAAAAAUAAGCUGGGAGAAAAUCAAGAAUAGUCACACAACCCCAUAAUUUUUACCUGAGCUCUUCAUUAGGCAUUCUGAAAAAUCUACUUUGGAAGCAAAAACAGCUGUUGAAAAGAUGACAGAGGCUGGCGCAACUGAUUUGUUUCACUAAAAGCCUAACACGCAGAAUUUUCCAUAGGAAUCAGGCUGAGUCAGGAUCCCUAAACAGACCUACUGUGAAAUAUUUCACUGUCUUCGAAUGGUCUUCUCCAUCUGAAAUGAAGGUUUCAAUAAGUAAAUAACCUGCAACUGCCUAGCAAGUCAAUGCAGGUAAUUAGGACAUUUGGGGUUACGAAGCUCAUAUCUCCCCACUUGGUUCAUAGUUUAGAAUACAGGCGGAACCCUGUAUUGAUUUUGUGCCAUCUCAUCCACAGAGCUGGAAGGGCUCUCAGGGUACAUUAAACUCAAUGCAGACAACAUGGGUACAACCUUUGCUGUAACCUGGAGCCUUUUAAGGUCUGAGCUCCAUUUAAAGUUGGCAGAUACCCAGUUUUAAGAGAUUGCUCUGAGAAGCAAUCCAUUGUAGUGCAGGCCAGUUUCAAAGAGUUCAUGUUCGAAGGGAAGAGUUCAGCUCUGAAUGUAGAUGUGCUGAGGAACUGCCUCCCAGAAAGCCAGAGUGCUAGGUGGAGCAUUCACUUUGCCAAGAUCCUACCACUGGCAACACACAUCUCCCAGAUGACUGAACCAGUCUGACUAACUCAUGCUCUGGCUUUGCAAGGUAU